This 2930-nucleotide ribosomal RNA is filed under the name Bacillus velezensis. Its description in RNAcentral is "23S ribosomal RNA". It matches the Rfam family "Bacterial large subunit ribosomal RNA". The record is from RNAcentral. Lineage: Bacteria; Bacillati; Bacillota; Bacilli; Caryophanales; Bacillaceae.
GGUUAAGUUAGAAAGGGCGCACGGUGGAUGCCUUGGCACUAGGAGCCGAUGAAGGACGGGACGAACACCGAUAUGCUUCGGGGAGCUGUAAGCAAGCUUUGAUCCGGAGAUUUCCGAAUGGGGAAACCCACCACUCGUAAUGGAGUGGUAUCCAUAUCUGAAUACAUAGGGUAUGAGAAGGCAGACCCGGGGAACUGAAACAUCUAAGUACCCGGAGGAAGAGAAAGCAAAUGCGAUUCCCUGAGUAGCGGCGAGCGAAACGGGACCAGCCCAAACCAAGAGGCUUGCCUCUUGGGGUUGUAGGACACUCUGUACGGAGUUACAAAGGAACGAGGUAGAUGAAGAGGUCUGGAAAGGCCCGCCAUAGAAGGUAACAGCCCUGUAGUCAAAACUUCGUUCUCUCCUGAGUGGAUCCUGAGUACGGCGGAACACGUGAAAUUCCGUCGGAAUCCGGGAGGACCAUCUCCCAAGGCUAAAUACUCCCUAGUGACCGAUAGUGAACCAGUACCGUGAGGGAAAGGUGAAAAGCACCCCGGAAGGGGAGUGAAAGAGAUCCUGAAACCGUGUGCCUACAAGUAGUCAGAGCCCGUUAACGGGUGAUGGCGUGCCUUUUGUAGAAUGAACCGGCGAGUUACGAUCCCGUGCAAGGUUAAGCAGAAGAUGCGGAGCCGCAGCGAAAGCGAGUCUGAAUAGGGCGAAUUGAGUACGUGGUCGUAGACCCGAAACCAGGUGAUCUACCCAUGUCCAGGGUGAAGUUCAGGUAACACUGAAUGGAGGCCCGAACCCACGCACGUUGAAAAGUGCGGGGAUGAGGUGUGGGUAGGGGUGAAAUGCCAAUCGAACCUGGAGAUAGCUGGUUCUCUCCGAAAUAGCUUUAGGGCUAGCCUCAAGGUAAGAGUCUCGGAGGUAGAGCACUGAUUGGACUAGGGGCCCCUACCGGGUUACCGAAUUCAGUCAAACUCCGAAUGCCGAUGACUUAUCCUUGGGAGUCAGACUGCGAGUGAUAAGAUCCGUAGUCGAAAGGGAAACAGCCCAGACCGCCAGCUAAGGUCCCAAAGUAUACGUUAAGUGGAAAAGGAUGUGGAGUUGCUUAGACAACCAGGAUGUUGGCUUAGAAGCAGCCACCAUUUAAAGAGUGCGUAAUAGCUCACUGGUCGAGUGACUCUGCGCCGAAAAUGUACCGGGGCUAAACGUAUCACCGAAGCUGCGGACUGUUCUUCGAACAGUGGUAGGAGAGCGUUCUAAGGGCUGUGAAGCAAGACCGGAAGGACUUGUGGAGCGCUUAGAAGUGAGAAUGCCGGUAUGAGUAGCGAAAGAGGGGUGAGAAUCCCCUCCACCGAAUGCCUAAGGUUUCCUGAGGAAGGCUCGUCCGCUCAGGGUUAGUCGGGACCUAAGCCGAGGCCGAAAGGCGUAGGCGAUGGACAACAGGUUGAUAUUCCUGUACCACCUCCUCACCAUUUGAGCAAUGGGGGGACGCAGGAGGAUAGGGUAAGCGCGGUAUUGGAUAUCCGCGUCCAAGCAGUUAGGCUGGGAAAUAGGCAAAUCCGUUUCCCGUGAAGGCUGAGCUGUGAUGGCGAGCGAAUUAUAGUAGCGAAGUUCCUGAUUCCACACUGCCAAGAAAAGCCUCUAGCGAGGUGAGAGGUGCCCGUACCGCAAACCGACACAGGUAGGCGAGGAGAGAAUCCUAAGGUGAUCGAGAGAACUCUCGUUAAGGAACUCGGCAAAAUGACCCCGUAACUUCGGGAGAAGGGGUGCUCUGUUAGGGUGCAAGCCCGAGAGAGCCGCAGUGAAUAGGCCCAGGCGACUGUUUAGCAAAAACACAGGUCUCUGCGAAGCCGUAAGGCGAAGUAUAGGGGCUGACGCCUGCCCGGUGCUGGAAGGUUAAGAGGAGCGCUUAGCGUAAGCGAAGGUGCGAAUUGAAGCCCCAGUAAACGGCGGCCGUAACUAUAACGGUCCUAAGGUAGCGAAAUUCCUUGUCGGGUAAGUUCCGACCCGCACGAAAGGCGCAACGAUCUGGGCACUGUCUCAACGAGAGACUCGGUGAAAUUAUAGUACCUGUGAAGAUGCAGGUUACCCGCGACAGGACGGAAAGACCCCGUGGAGCUUUACUGCAGCCUGAUAUUGAAUGUUGGUACAGCUUGUACAGGAUAGGUAGGAGCCUUGGAAACCGGAGCGCCAGCUUCGGUGGAGGCAUCGGUGGGAUACUACCCUGGCUGUAUUGACCUUCUAACCCGCCGCCCUUAUCGGGCGGGGAGACAGUGUCAGGUGGGCAGUUUGACUGGGGCGGUCGCCUCCUAAAAGGUAACGGAGGCGCCCAAAGGUUCCCUCAGAAUGGUUGGAAAUCAUUCGCAGAGUGUAAAGGCACAAGGGAGCUUGACUGCGAGACCUACAAGUCGAGCAGGGACGAAAGUCGGGCUUAGUGAUCCGGUGGUUCCGCAUGGAAGGGCCAUCGCUCAACGGAUAAAAGCUACCCCGGGGAUAACAGGCUUAUCUCCCCCAAGAGUCCACAUCGACGGGGAGGUUUGGCACCUCGAUGUCGGCUCAUCGCAUCCUGGGGCUGUAGUCGGUCCCAAGGGUUGGGCUGUUCGCCCAUUAAAGCGGUACGCGAGCUGGGUUCAGAACGUCGUGAGACAGUUCGGUCCCUAUCCGUCGCGGGCGCAGGAAAUUUGAGAGGAGCUGUCCUUAGUACGAGAGGACCGGGAUGGACGCACCGCUGGUGUACCAGUUGUUCUGCCAAGGGCAUCGCUGGGUAGCUAUGUGCGGACGGGAUAAGUGCUGAAAGCAUCUAAGCAUGAAGCCCCCCUCAAGAUGAGAUUUCCCAUUCCGCAAGGAAGUAAGAUCCCUGAAAGAUGAUCAGGUUGAUAGGUCUGAGGUGGAAGUGUGGCGACACAUGGAGCUGACAGAUACUAAUCGAUCGAGGACUUAACCAA